RNAcentral lists this ribosomal RNA (492 nucleotides) under uncultured bacterium. Its description in RNAcentral is "partial 16S ribosomal RNA". It matches the Rfam family "Bacterial small subunit ribosomal RNA", at positions 29 to 507 of the family's 1533-position model. The record is from RNAcentral.
AGUGAACGCUGGCGGUAGGCCUAACACAUGCAAGUCGAACGGCAGCGCAGUAAGAGCUUGCUCUUACGGGUGGCGAGUGGCGGACGGGUGAGGAAUACAUCGGAAUCUACUUUUUCGUGGGGGAUAACGUAGGGAAACUUACGCUAAUACCGCAUACGACCUACGGGUGAAAGCAGGGGAUCUUCGGACCUUGCGCGAUUGAAUGAGCCGAUGUCGGAUUAGCUAGUUGGCGGGGUAAAGGCCCACCAAGGCGACGAUCCGUAGCUGGUCUGAGAGGAUGAUCAGCCACACUGGAACUGAGACACGGUCCAGACUCCUACGGGAGGCAGCAGUGGGGAAUAUUGGACAAUGGGCGCAAGCCUGAUCCAGCCAUACCGCGUGGGUGAAGAAGGCCUUCGGGUUGUAAAGCCCUUUUGUUGGGAAAGAAAAGCAGCAGGUUAAUACCCCGCUGUUCUGACGGUACCCAAAGAUUAAGCACCGGCUAACUUCGUG